Molecule: transfer RNA, 75 nt
Filed under: Actinomycetes bacterium
Lineage: Bacteria; Bacillati; Actinomycetota; Actinomycetes
Also listed under: 4 other names
Description: Actinobacteria bacterium (groundwater metagenome) tRNA-Val
Rfam family: tRNA
About the family: Transfer RNA (tRNA) molecules are approximately 80 nucleotides in length. Their secondary structure includes four short double-helical elements and three loops (D, anti-codon, and T loops).
Source: RNAcentral
GGGCGCGUAGCUCAGUGGGAGAGCGCUUCCUUGACGCGGAAGAGGUCGGUAGUUCGAUCCUACUCGCGCCCACCA